UACGAAGGGGGCUAGCGUUGCUCGGAAUCACUGGGCGUAAAGCGCACGUAGGCGGCUUUUUAAGUCAGAGGUGAAAUCCUGGAGCUCAACUCCAGAACUGCCUUUGAUACUGGAGAGCUUGAGUUCGGGAGAGGUGAGUGGAACUGCGAGUGUAGAGGUGAAAUUCGUAGAUAUUGGGAAGAACACCGAUGGCGAAGGCAGCCAUCUGGACCGACACUGACGCUGAGGCGCGAAAGCGUGGGGAGCAAACAGG
Molecule: ribosomal RNA, 253 nt
Filed under: uncultured bacterium
Lineage: Bacteria
Description: partial 16S ribosomal RNA
Rfam family: Bacterial small subunit ribosomal RNA
Source: RNAcentral